This 1040-nucleotide ribosomal RNA is filed under the name uncultured bacterium. RNAcentral's name for it is "bacterial SSU rRNA". It matches the Rfam family "Bacterial small subunit ribosomal RNA", at positions 335 to 1386 of the family's 1533-position model. The record is from RNAcentral.
ACUCCUACGGUGAGGCAGCAGUGGGGAAUAUUGCACAAUGGGCGAAAGCCUGAUGCAGCAACGCCGCGUGAGGGACGAAGGCCUUCGGGUUGUAAACCUCUUUUAGUAGGGAAGAAGCGAAAGUGACGGUACCUGCAGAAAAAGCACCGGCUAACUACGUGCCAGCAGCCGCGGUAAUACGUAGGGUGCAAGCGUUGUCCGGAAUUAUUGGGCGUAAAGAGCUCGUAGGCGGUUUGUCGCGUCUGCUGUGAAAACCCGAGGCUCAACCUCGGGCCUGCAGUGGGUACGGGCAGACUAGAGUGCGGUAGGGGAGAUUGGAAUUCCUGGUGUAGCGGUGGAAUGCGCAGAUAUCAGGAGGAACACCAAUGGCGAAGGCAGAUCUCUGGGCCGUAACUGACGCUGAGGAGCGAAAGCAUGGGGAGCGAACAGGAUUAGAUACCCUGGUAGUCCAUGCCGUAAACGUUGGGAACUAGAUGUGGGGACCAUUCCACGGUCUCCGUGUCGCAGCUAACGCAUUAAGUUCCCCGCCUGGGGAGUACGGCCGCAAGGCUAAAACUCAAAGGAAUUGACGGGGGCCCGCACAAGCGGCGGAGCAUGCGGAUUAAUUCGAUGCAACGCGAAGAACCUUACCAAGGCUUGACAUAUAGAGGAAACGGCUGGAAACAGUCGCCCCGCAAGGUCUCUAUACAGGUGGUGCAUGGUUGUCGUCAGCUCGUGUCGUGAGAUGUUGGGUUAAGUCCCGCAACGAGCGCAACCCUCGUCCUAUGUUGCCAGCACGUAAUGGUGGGAACUCAUGGGAUACUGCCGGGGUCAACUCGGAGGAAGGUGGGGAUGACGUCAAAUCAUCAUGCCCCUUAUGUCUUGGGCUUCACGCAUGCUACAAUGGCCGGUACAAAGGGCUGCAAUACCGUAAGGUGGAGCGAAUCCCAAAAAGCCGGUCUCAGUUCGGAUUGAGGUCUGCAACUCGACCUCAUGAAGUCGGAGUCGCUAGUAAUCGCAGAUCAGCGACGCUGCGGUGAAUACGUUCCCGGGCCUUGUAC